This 384-nucleotide long non-coding RNA is filed under the name Rattus norvegicus (Norway rat). Its description in RNAcentral is "long non-coding RNA NONRATT005668". The record is from RNAcentral. Lineage: Eukaryota; Metazoa; Chordata; Mammalia; Rodentia; Muridae.
AGGCUCAGACUCGCUGUGUAGCUGAGGACUACCUUGAACUCCUGCGUCCACCUGCUGAGUACUGGGACUGCAGGGACACACCCCACCCACGUCUGUGUGAACUGGGGACAGAAUCCAGGGCUUCAUCCAAGCUGUGCAAACACUAUCUCAACUGAGCUACAUCCCCAGAGAGGAAGGUUUAACUUAGCUGGGAAUGCCCACCCUGAGUGUGGGCAGCACCACUUGUGAGCUGACUACGAAAGAGAAAGCAAGCCAGCAUUCUCACUGCUUCCUGAGGAGACCGGCCAUCCCAGUUCCUGCCACUGCAGCCAGAGCUACCGCCACCAUGCCUUCACCAUCAUGAUUGACUGUAUCCUCCAACCAUAAACCAAAAUAGACCCCUUC